AUACGUAGGUGGCAAGCGUUAUCCGGAUUUACUGGGUGUAAAGGGCGUGUAGGCGGGUCUGCAAGUCAGAUGUGAAAUCUCCGGGCUUAACUCGGAAGUGUCAUCUGAAACUACGGAUCUUGAGUACUGGAGAGGAUAGUGGAAUUCCUAGUGUAGCGGUAAAAUGCGUAGAUAUUAGGAGGAAAACCAGUGGCGAAGGCGGCUAUCUGGACAGUAACAGACGCUGAGGCGCGAAAGCGUGGGGAGCAAAAAGGAUUAGAUGCCCUGGUAGUCCACGCCGUAAACGAUGAAUACUAGGUGUCGGGUUUCUAUAGAGAUUCGGUGCCGCAGCAAACGCAAUAAGUAUUCCACCUGGGGAGUACGUUCGCAAGAAUGAAACUCAAAUGAAUUGACGGGG
RNAcentral lists this ribosomal RNA (397 nucleotides) under uncultured bacterium. RNAcentral's name for it is "partial 16S ribosomal RNA". It matches the Rfam family "Bacterial small subunit ribosomal RNA", at positions 523 to 918 of the family's 1533-position model. The record is from RNAcentral.